CGCCUUAUACUCCUACGGGAGGCAGCAGUGGGGAAUAUUGGACAAUGGGCGAAAGCCUGAUCCAGCAACGCCGCGUGAGGGAUGACGGCCUUCGGGUUGUAAACCUCUUUCAGUAGGGACGAAGCGCAAGUGACGGUACCUACAGAAGAAGCACCGGCCAACUACGUGCCAGCAGCCGCGGUAAUACGUAGGGUGCGAGCGUUGUCCGGAAUUAUUGGGCGUAAAGGGCUCGUAGGCGGUUUGUCGCGUCGGGAGUGAAAACACGGGGCUUAACCCCGUGCCUGCUUCCGAUACGGGCAGACUAGAGGUAUGCAGGGGAGAACGGAAUUCCUGGUGUAGCGGUGAAAUGCGCAGAUAUCAGGAGGAACACCGGUGGCGAAGGCGGUUCUCUGGGCAUUACCUGACGCUGAGGAGCGAAAGUGUGGGGAGCGAACAGGAUUAGAUACCCGAGUAGUCCACGUACCA
Molecule: ribosomal RNA, 465 nt
Filed under: uncultured bacterium
Lineage: Bacteria
Description: bacterial SSU rRNA
Rfam family: Bacterial small subunit ribosomal RNA
Source: RNAcentral